GACAGAGGGUGCAAACGUUGUUCGGAAUUACUGGGCGUAAAGCGUGUGUAGGCGGCUACAUAAGUCGGAUGUGAAAGCCCCGGGCUCAACCCGGGAAGUGCACUCGAUACUGCGUAGCUUGAGUCUCGGAGAGGUUGGUGGAGUUCUCGGUGUAGAGGUGAAAUUCGUAGAUAUCGAGAGGAACACCGGUGGCGAAGGCGGCCAACUGGACGAAGACUGACGCUGAGACACGAAAGCGUGGGGAGCAAACAGG
Molecule: ribosomal RNA, 253 nt
Filed under: uncultured bacterium
Lineage: Bacteria
Description: partial 16S ribosomal RNA
Rfam family: Bacterial small subunit ribosomal RNA
Source: RNAcentral